UUGAGCCUAAAGCGUUCGUAGCCGGUUUUGUAAAUCUUCAGAUAAAGCCUGAAGCUUAACUCCAGAAAGUCUGAAGAGACUGCAAGACUUGAGAUCGGGUGAGGUUAAACGUACUUUCAGGGUAGGGGUAAAAUCCUGUAAUCCCGGAAGGACGACCAGUGGCGAAAGCGUUUAACUAUAACGAAUCUGACGGUAAGGAACGAAGGCUAGGGUAGCAAACCGGAUUAGAUACCCGGGUAGUCCUAGCUGUAAACAUUGCCCAUUUGAUGUUGCUUUUCCGUUGAGGGAAGGCAGUGUCGGAGCGAAGGUGUUAAAUGGGCCGCUUGGGAAGUAUGGUCGCAAGACUGAAACUUAAAGGAAUUGGCGGGGGAGCACCGCAACGGGAGGAAUGUGCGGUUUAAUUGGAUUCAACGCCGGAAAACUCACCGGGAACGACCUGUGCAUGAGAGUCAACCUGACGAGCUUACUCGAUAGCAGGAGAGGUGGUGCAUGGCCGUCGUCAGCUCGUACCGUAGGGCGUUCACUUAAGUGUGAUAACGAGCGAGACCCACAUCCUUUAAUUGCAAAUGUAUAUCAGAAUAUGCAUGCACU
RNAcentral lists this ribosomal RNA (591 nucleotides) under uncultured bacterium. Its description in RNAcentral is "bacterial SSU rRNA". It matches the Rfam family "Archaeal small subunit ribosomal RNA", at positions 504 to 1095 of the family's 1478-position model. The record is from RNAcentral.